GACCCUUUCGUCUAGCUGGUCCAGGACACCUCCCUUUCACGGAGGCAACACGGGUUCGAACCCCGUAAGGGUCACCA
RNAcentral lists this transfer RNA (77 nucleotides) under bacterium. Its description in RNAcentral is "tRNA-Glu". It matches the Rfam family "tRNA". Rfam says of the family: Transfer RNA (tRNA) molecules are approximately 80 nucleotides in length. Their secondary structure includes four short double-helical elements and three loops (D, anti-codon, and T loops). The record is from RNAcentral.